UAGGGAAUCUUCCGCAAUGGGCGAAAGCUUGACGGAGCAACGCCGCGUGAGUGAUGAAGGUCUUCGGAUCGUAAAACUCUGUUAUUAGGGAAGAACAAAUGUGUAAGUAACUAUGCACGUCUUGACGGUACCUCAUUAGAAAGCCACGGCUAACUACGUGCCAGCAGCCGCGGUAAUACGUAGGUGGCAAGCGUUAUCCGGAAUUAUUGGGCGUAAAGCGCGCGUAGGCGGUUUUUUAAGUCUGAUGUGAAAGCCAACGGCUCAACCGUGGAGGGUCAUUGGAAACUGGAAAACUUGAGUGCAGAAGAGGAAAAUGGAAUUCCAUGUGUAGCGGUGAAAGGCGCAGAGAUAUGGAGGAACACCAGUGGGGAAGGCGACUUUCUGGUCUGUAACUAACGCUGAUGUGCGAAAGCGUGGGGAUCAAACAGG
This 429-nucleotide ribosomal RNA is filed under the name Actinomycetes bacterium. RNAcentral describes it as "Actinobacteria bacterium partial 16S ribosomal RNA". It matches the Rfam family "Bacterial small subunit ribosomal RNA", at positions 355 to 776 of the family's 1533-position model. The record is from RNAcentral. Lineage: Bacteria; Bacillati; Actinomycetota; Actinomycetes.